UACGGGGGGGGCAAGCGUUGUUCGGAAUUACUGGGCGUAAAGGGCUCGUAGGUGGCCAACUAAGUCAGACGUGAAAUCCCUCAGCUUAACUGGGGAACUGCGUCUGAUACUGGAUGGCUUGAGUUCGGGAGAGGGAUGCGGAAUUCCUGGUGUAGCGGUGAAAUGCGCAGAUAUCAGGAGGAACACCGGUGGCGAAGGCGGGUCUCUGGGCCGUAACUGACGCUGAGGAGCGAAAGCGUGGGGAGCGAACAGG
This 253-nucleotide ribosomal RNA is filed under the name uncultured bacterium. RNAcentral's name for it is "partial 16S ribosomal RNA". It matches the Rfam family "Bacterial small subunit ribosomal RNA", at positions 524 to 776 of the family's 1533-position model. The record is from RNAcentral.